CUGUUUUGGGGAAAACCUCAACAGCUAUAGACCACUAUUUUAUUCUCCUGUUACCCCCGCUCGACCCAGAUACACUCUUAUUACCUAAAAGGAAUUGUGAAGCAAAAGAGUGAGCACAACUAGCCUAGUAAAGAAUAUUAUGACUAAGAUAAUUAAAUUAUCAAUAGCCUUCGUCAGUAAUAAAUCAGAGAUUUAGAACAUAUGGUAGAUGAUAAAAACUUUUCAACCAUAGUUGUCGCGGAACGAACAAUCCAUUAGAAGAGUCAAGUAGAACAUAAUGUCUACUAUCUCCUCCAAAUUAAAAGUGCACCGUUAAUAUUUCAUUCCUGUAAUAAUCAUCAACAGUUCUUUGUUGCAUCCAAGACAAAGAAAACUUUCAUCACCUGUAUUCACCUGAACCACUAAAGAUUAUAGUUAAAUUCACAAUUCAUAUUUAUAAUCAUG
RNAcentral lists this long non-coding RNA (444 nucleotides) under Panax ginseng (ginseng). RNAcentral's name for it is "long non-coding RNA (PGIN_LNC007268)". Lineage: Eukaryota; Viridiplantae; Streptophyta; Magnoliopsida; Apiales; Araliaceae. The record is from RNAcentral.